GGAGAAGGUUUUCUAACUAAGGAGGUGCUCAGUCGUAAGGUGGUUGGGAUGGAGGUAAAUGGCUGAAAAAGAAGUGGGGGAGUUAUGGUUCCUUCUCUACUGCUAUUGCGCCUUACCCAAAGCAUUUGGGUGAUAGGCGUCAGCAAGGUGGUGAUAACUUCUGGGCACAGGGUGCCCAAUCUCAGGUGAGUAGGGGUCAAUCAAUUUCUUCAUGUCCUCCUUG
RNAcentral lists this long non-coding RNA (223 nucleotides) under Capsicum annuum. Its description in RNAcentral is "long non-coding RNA (CANN_LNC009850)". Lineage: Eukaryota; Viridiplantae; Streptophyta; Magnoliopsida; Solanales; Solanaceae. The record is from RNAcentral.